AAGCGUUGGAGAGAGUGUGAAAAACCACCGCCGAAGGAGCAAGCCAAAAGGUGAAUCUCUCAGGCAAAAGGACAAUGC
This 78-nucleotide non-coding RNA is filed under the name Jeotgalicoccus meleagridis. Its description in RNAcentral is "Glycine riboswitch". It matches the Rfam family "Glycine riboswitch aptamer", at positions 8 to 87 of the family's 94-position model. Rfam says of the family: This family represents the bacterial glycine riboswitch. Glycine riboswitches usually consist of two metabolite-binding aptamers domains with similar structures in tandem. Lineage: Bacteria; Bacillati; Bacillota; Bacilli; Caryophanales; Staphylococcaceae. The record is from RNAcentral.